GGAAUUUAGCUCAGUGGUAGAGCGCUUGCCUAGCAAGCACAAGGCCCUGGGUUCGGUCCCCAGCUCCG
Molecule: non-coding RNA, 68 nt
Organism: Rattus norvegicus (Norway rat)
Lineage: Eukaryota; Metazoa; Chordata; Mammalia; Rodentia; Muridae
Source: Rfam